UUUCCGUAGGUGAACCUGCGGAAGGAUCAUUGCACACACGAUGCAGCAAACUAGCGAACUGUGUUUGUCCCCCACCUACCCCAAACACGAGGGGCCGCAUCUGGAGGUGCGGCUGUCGACGGCAAGGUCCCGACCUUCGGGUCCCCGCAGUGGUUCCCGCAAGCGGGCUGAUCAUGUCGCCGUCUGGGUGUCCCGCGCGGGCUCUCGCCUUGCUUUAGGGUUGGGCGACGCGGGCCUGCUCCUCCCUUCGAUGACGUCGUCCCCUCCUCCGGGGGAGCGACACGCGUCGAGGGCCGUUUCCAGCUUUGCACCAUGUACAACACCAGGGACUGGGUAUACCUUUGUCCCGGUUCCGCUGCUGCCCUCGGGUGGUGCGGAAUUGGUCCAUAGGAACAAGAGUAAAUAGAAACAACUCUCAGCAACGGAUAUCUUGGCUCUU
Molecule: unclassified non-coding RNA, 439 nt
Filed under: plant metagenome
Description: partial contains small subunit ribosomal RNA, internal transcribed spacer 1, and 5.8S ribosomal RNA
Source: RNAcentral